Molecule: long non-coding RNA, 850 nt
Filed under: Elaeis guineensis (African oil palm)
Lineage: Eukaryota; Viridiplantae; Streptophyta; Magnoliopsida; Arecales; Arecaceae
Description: long non-coding RNA (EGUI_LNC039547)
Source: RNAcentral
CUAGUAGACAUCGUAGUGCCAUAAUCGUUGUUUGAUGCUCCUUCUCAAAGUAGGUCACGAUCCUUCUUUUAGCGCCAAUUUGUUGCCGCUGAAAUCUGGAUUGUGGUCAGAUGGAGCUGGAGUGAUGGUGCGUCCCUCCGGCAGAAAAUCUGCACAAGUCCUAAUUGGAGUUGACUCCAGCGGAGAUCCUUCGACGCUCAAGUCAGAUCUCCGGAAAACAGUAGAGUGUAGAAGAUUAUGGACGCAUAUCUUGGGAGGUCCUGUGUAAAUCUUUUUGUAAGGUGGAACCGCGUAACCGUUGAGACAGAUCAUAGGGGGGUUAGGCGCAACAUGGUGAGACUCCUGAUCGAGAUCAUCGGGUGGUUAUUGCACCUCCCUUAUCCAUUUCGAAAUCAACUGAGAGUCAUAGACGAUUCCGAAUUUCGAAUUAAAGCACAAGUGAGAUCCGGCUCUACCUCUUUAGUUGAAUAUAAUUUGAUGGGGUUGGAUGCUGAAAGAAGGAAAUGGCCGAGUCGAAUCUCAUCUAGCAAGAUGAGAGCUGAUGCUUAAAUAUGGCCAAAGUCAGAACUUAACAUGCCUGAGCACCCCACCAUCUGCAAUCUUUUGUGUUGGAAGCCGGUAGCUAUAAAGAUUGCGGUAGAUAAGGUGACGAAGCCCAAAAAGAUCGAUCCUUGAAUUUCGCUGACUGCGAUCAAGAUCUAGGGGUCACCAUAGGCCGAAGUUAGGAUGAGCCAUCUCGCUGUGCCCAUCGGCCCAAACAUAACCAUCUAUCUCCGUCUUCGGCCCAAGGAGGAAAUAUCCCCCUAACACAUGUAAUUAUAAAUAUUUUUGAAUUAAUACAAAGGAUUUU